This 473-nucleotide ribosomal RNA is filed under the name uncultured bacterium. RNAcentral describes it as "bacterial SSU rRNA". It matches the Rfam family "Bacterial small subunit ribosomal RNA", at positions 8 to 525 of the family's 1533-position model. The record is from RNAcentral.
AGAGUUUGAUCCUGGCUCAGAAUGAACGCUGGCGGCAGGCCUAACACAUGCAAGUCGAACGGGUGCCUUCGGGUGCUAGUGGCGGACGGGUGAGUAACGCGUGGGAACAUACCCUUUGGUACGGAAUAGCCUCGGGAAACUGAGAGUAAUACCGUAUGUGCCCUUCGGGGGAAAGAUUUAUCGCCAAAGGAUUGGCCCGCGUUGGAUUAGGUAGUUGGUGGGGUAAUGGCCUACCAAGCCGACGAUCCAUAGCUGGUUUGAGAGGAUGAUCAGCCACACUGGGACUGAGACACGGCCCAGACUCCUACGGGAGGCAGCAGUGGGGAAUCUUAGACAAUGGGGGAAACCCUGAUCUAGCCAUGCCGCGUGAUCGAUGAAGGCCUUAGGGUUGUAAAGAUCUUUCAGAUGGGAAGAUAAUGACGGUACCAUCAGAAGGAGCCCCGGCUAACUCCGUGCCAGCAGCCGCGGUAAUA